GAUGAACGCUGGCGGCGUGCCUAAUACAUGCAAGUCGAACGAACGGACGAGAAGCUUGCUUCUCUGAUGUUAGAGGCGGUCGGGAGAGUAACACGUGGACAACCUACCUAUAAGACUGGGAUAACUUCGGGAAACCGGAUCUAAUCACGGAUAAUAUUUUGAACCGCAUUGUUCAAAAGUGAAAGACGGUCUUGCGGUCACUUAUAGAUGGAUACGCGCUGCAUUAGCUAGUUGGUAAGGUAAAGGAUUACCAAGGCGACGAUGGAUAGCCGACCUGAGAGGGUGGUCGCCUACCUGGGAUGUGAGACUCGCCCCCGAGACCUGCGCGAAGCAGCAGCAGAGAAUCUUACGCAACGGGGGAGAGGCUGACGGUGCAACACCGCGUGAGUGAUGAAUGUCCAGGGAUCGGAGAAUGAUGUUAGUAUGAAAGAACAAAUGUUUAAGUAACCGUGCACAUCUUGACGGUACCUGAAGAGAAAGCCACGGCUAACUACGUG
Molecule: ribosomal RNA, 497 nt
Filed under: uncultured bacterium
Lineage: Bacteria
Description: partial 16S ribosomal RNA
Rfam family: Bacterial small subunit ribosomal RNA
Source: RNAcentral